UACGUGGGGAGCAAGCGUUGUUCGGAUUUACUGGGCGUAAAGGGCGCGUAGGCGGCCACCGCAAGUCGACUUGGAAAUCUCCGGGCUUAACCCGGGAAGGUCAGCCGAUACUGCGGGGCUAGAGUGCAGAAGGGGCAACUGGAAUUCUCGGUGUAGCGGUGAAAUGCGUAGAUAUCGAGAGGAACACCUGCGGCGAAGGCGGGUUGCUGGGCUGACACUGACGCUGAGGCGCGAAGGCUAGGGGAGCGAACGGG
This 254-nucleotide ribosomal RNA is filed under the name uncultured bacterium. RNAcentral's name for it is "partial 16S ribosomal RNA". It matches the Rfam family "Bacterial small subunit ribosomal RNA", at positions 524 to 776 of the family's 1533-position model. The record is from RNAcentral.